GUGAAGAACGUAGCAAAAUGCGAUAAGUAAUGUGAAUUGCAGAAUUCAGUGAAUCAUCGAAUCUUUGAACGCACAUUGCGCCCGCCAGUAUUCUGGCGGGCAUGCCUGUUCGAGCGUCAUUUCAACCCUCGAGCCCCCCCGGGGGCCUCGGUGUUGGGGGACGGCACACCAGCCGCCCCCGAAAUGCAGUGGCGACCUCGCCGCAGCCUCCCCUGCGUAGUAGCACACACCUCGCACCGGAGCGCGGAGACGGUCACGCCGUAAAACGCCCAACUUCUUAGAGUUGACCUCGGAUCAGGUAGGAAUACCCGCUGAACUUAAGCAUAUCAAUAAGCGGAGGA
This 341-nucleotide unclassified non-coding RNA is filed under the name soil metagenome. RNAcentral describes it as "partial contains 5.8S ribosomal RNA, internal transcribed spacer 2, and large subunit ribosomal RNA". The stretch from base 2 to 119 matches the Rfam family "5.8S ribosomal RNA", at positions 37 to 154 of the family's 154-position model. The record is from RNAcentral.